UUAAAGGAAUUGACGGAGGCCCGCACAAGCGGUGGAGCAUGUGGUUAAUUCGACGCAACGCGAAGAACCUUACCAGGGCUUGACAUCCCCUGACCGCGUAUGAAAGUACGUUUUCACCCUCGGGUGACAGGGAGACAGGUGGUGCAUGGUUGUCGUCAGCUCGUGUCGUGAGAUGUUGGGUUAAGUCCCGCAACGAGCGCAACCCCUACGUUUAGUUGCUAACGCGUGAAGGCGAGCACUCUAGACGAACUGCCGUUGACAAAACGGAGGAAGGUGGGGAUGACGUCAAAUCAUCAUGCCCCUUAUGUUCUGGGCUACACACGUGCUACAAUGGCCGGUACAGACGGACGCAAAGCCGCGAGGUGGAGCAAAUCCUAAAAAGCCGGUCUCAGUUCGGAUUGCAGGCUGCAAUUCGCCUGCAUGAAGUCGGAAUCGCUAGUAAUCGCAGGUCAGCAUACUGCGGUGAAUACGUUCCCGGGCCUU
This 483-nucleotide ribosomal RNA is filed under the name uncultured Pelotomaculum sp. RNAcentral's name for it is "bacterial SSU rRNA". It matches the Rfam family "Bacterial small subunit ribosomal RNA", at positions 901 to 1382 of the family's 1533-position model. The record is from RNAcentral. Lineage: Bacteria; Bacillati; Bacillota; Clostridia; Eubacteriales; Desulfotomaculaceae.